RNAcentral lists this ribosomal RNA (439 nucleotides) under uncultured bacterium. RNAcentral's name for it is "partial 16S ribosomal RNA". It matches the Rfam family "Bacterial small subunit ribosomal RNA", at positions 339 to 795 of the family's 1533-position model. The record is from RNAcentral.
CUACGGGAGGCAGCAGUGAGGAAUAUUGCACAAUGGGGGGAACCCUGAUGCAGCCACGCCGCGUGGAGGAUGACGCAUUUCGGUGUGUAAACUCCUUUUAUAUGUCAAGAAAAUGACGGUAGCAUAUGAAUAAGCACCGGCUAACUCCGUGCCAGCAGCCGCGGUAAUACGGGGGGUGCAAGCGUUACUCGGAAUCACUGGGCGUAAAGGACGCGUAGGCGGGUUGGAAAGUCAGGUGUGAAAUCCUACAGCUUAACUGUAGAACUGCACUUGAAACUUCUAAUCUAGAGUAUGGGAGGGGGAGAUGGAAUUAGUGGUGUAGGGGUAAAAUCCGUAGAUAUCACUAGGAAUACCUAAAGCGAAGGCGAUCUCCUGGAACAUUACUGACGCUAAGGCGUGAAAGCGUGGGGAGCAAACAGGAUUAGAUACCCGAGUAGUC